RNAcentral lists this ribosomal RNA (444 nucleotides) under uncultured bacterium. RNAcentral's name for it is "bacterial SSU rRNA". It matches the Rfam family "Bacterial small subunit ribosomal RNA", at positions 340 to 778 of the family's 1533-position model. The record is from RNAcentral.
UACGGGAGGCAGCAGUGGGGAAUAUUGCACAAUGGGCGUAAGCCUGAUGCAGCCAUGCCGCGUGUAUGAAGAAGGCCUUCGGGUUGUAAAGUACUUUCAGUCGUGAGGAAGGUGUUAAGGUUAAUAACCUUAGCAAUUGACGUUAGCGACAGAAGAAGCACCGGCUAACUCCGUGCCAGCAGCCGCGGUAAUACGGAGGGUGCGAGCGUUAAUCGGAAUUACUGGGCGUAAAGGGCACGCAGGCGGUUAAUUAAGUUGGAUGUGAAAUCCCCGGGCUUAACCUGGGAAUGGCAUUCAAGACUGGUUAGCUAGAGUCUUGUAGAGGGGGUAGAAUUCCAUGUGUAGCGGUGAAAUGCGUAGAGAUGUGGAGGAAUACCGGUGGCGAAGGCGGCCCCUGGACAAAGACUGACGCUCAUGUGCGAAAGCGUGGGGAGCAAACAGGGA